RNAcentral lists this long non-coding RNA (300 nucleotides) under Carica papaya (papaya). Its description in RNAcentral is "long non-coding RNA (CPAP_LNC000792)". Lineage: Eukaryota; Viridiplantae; Streptophyta; Magnoliopsida; Brassicales; Caricaceae. The record is from RNAcentral.
GUUCUAAAUAUUACAAUACUGAGGCGAAAUAAAAUUAAAUACAAACAUCUCUAAAGAUGGACUCAUCAGAGUGCGAAACCAAACAUGCACUUGUAGUAGUUCACGGAUCCACGAGAUCCUUAAAAGAUUUGAGAGGUAGGUCAACGGUCAGUUACUCACUAUCAUCUUUAUUUGAGGGGGGCAUGGAAAGUAAUUUAGACUUGAAUAGGGUGCCAUAAUUACUUACCAUCAGGAAUCGUAUCAGGGGUCCAUUUCAAUAGUUAUGAAAAUAAUGUACUUUAUUAAAAAAAAACCAAAUCA